RNAcentral lists this ribosomal RNA (418 nucleotides) under uncultured bacterium. RNAcentral's name for it is "bacterial SSU rRNA". It matches the Rfam family "Bacterial small subunit ribosomal RNA", at positions 361 to 776 of the family's 1533-position model. The record is from RNAcentral.
AUAUUGGACAAUGGGUGAGAGCCUGAUCCAGCCAUCCCGCGUGAAGGACGACGGCCCUAUGGGUUGUAAACUUCUUUUCUACAGGGAUAAACCUACUCUCGUGAGGGUAGCUGAAGGUACUGUAGGAAUAAGCACCGGCUAACUCCGUGCCAGCAGCCGCGGUAAUACGGAGGGUGCAAGCGUUAUCCGGAUUUAUUGGGUUUAAAGGGUCCGUAGGCGGGCUUGUAAGUCAGUGGUGAAAUCUCACAGCUUAACUGUGAAACUGCCGUUGAUACUGCAGGUCUUGAGUAAAUUUGAAGUGGCUGGAAUAAGUAGUGUAGCGGUGAAAUGCAUAGAUAUUACUUAGAACACCAAUUGCGAAGGCAGGUCACUAAGAUUUAACUGACGCUGAGAGACGAAAGCGUGGGGAGCGAACAGG